Molecule: ribosomal RNA, 34 nt
Filed under: Armillaria mellea
Lineage: Eukaryota; Fungi; Basidiomycota; Agaricomycetes; Agaricales; Physalacriaceae
Also listed under: 1 other name
Description: partial small subunit ribosomal RNA
Source: RNAcentral
GGUUUCCGGUAGGUGACCUGCGGAAGGAUCAUUA